RNAcentral lists this long non-coding RNA (805 nucleotides) under Brassica napus (rape). RNAcentral describes it as "long non-coding RNA (BNAP_LNC020426)". The record is from RNAcentral. Lineage: Eukaryota; Viridiplantae; Streptophyta; Magnoliopsida; Brassicales; Brassicaceae.
GGUUCUUCAUAUUAAUUUUUUUUAAUGUACAAAAUGGAUUAAGAAAGUAAAUAAAAAUAUAGGAAAGAGUAAAACUAAGCUAAAAUCGGAAAAAAUGGAAUAGAUUAAACCUAGAGCUACAUAUACAAAACGGAAAACGAAUAUUGUAAACAAACCUGCCGGAGCUAGAACCGCCGCUGCUGCCGCAAUGUCAGUUGAAGAAACAAACCGAACGCAUGGGCAUCUUCUUCAUGAGGUAUGAAAAGCGAGACCACCCAAAACAAAAACGGAGAAACAAUCUAUAUCAGAAAAGAAGAAAAAAGCAAAGAAGCGAAGGUUGAGGAGGAGCCAACAAAACAAGGAAGUUUCGCCGAUUUGGGUCCGAUGUGUGGAUAGACCAGAAUCACACCCCACGACCAACCCACCUUCAUCCUCGCCUGGAAACCUAACUCCGAAACUCCACUCACCAUCCUCAAAGCAAGCAAAAAAAGAGAGAGUAGGAAUCGGUCGACUGCAUCAGAACCUCAAACCUAACAUCUAAUUUUUCACCAAGUUGGCCUCGAACGCAUCGCCAAUAAACUAAUAAAACACUACUGACAAUAACAUAGGGAGGCUCCGAGUAUCACAAUUCAGAUCUUCUCUCACAGAUCCUCGUCAUGAAAAAACUCCACCAUAGGUCUCCGAUACACCUUCCGACACUUUAGAUCCAAAGCAACCAUAACUCAACACGGUACAAAAGCACACCUUAAACUAAAGGUUUUGGCCCGAUCUACUCAUACAUAACAUCAGAGAAGGAGCCGGACACCAAAAUGUUAUUCAUUUCUUU